UGGGUAUAAUGCGCCGUAGCAAAAGUUGGCUGGAAGGCUUCUUUUGUAAGAGGCGUUGUUGGCAUCUCAACAACGCGCGGAAGGAUGAGACUGCGGCAGAUUAUGGUUGUUGGCGGGGUAACUGCCCACCAAGCCGAGAAUCUGUACGGGCAAUGAGAGUUGGAGCCCGGAGAAGGGAACUGAGAUAAGGUCCCUAGCCCUACGGGGUGCAGCAGGCGCGAAACCUCUGCAAUGCGCGAAAGCGCGACAGGGGGACUCUGAGUGAUUGCUUUGCAAUCUUUUGCCAAACCUAGAUAGUUUGGCGAAUAAGAGGAGGGCAAGACGCGUGCCAGCCGCCGCGGUAAUACGCGCUCCUCAAGUGGUGCCCACUAAUAUUUGGCCUAAAGCGUUCGUAGCCUGCUCUGUAAGUCCUGGGUGAAAUCAGGCAGCUCAACUGUCUGAAUUGCUUGGGAUACUGCAGGGCUCGAGACAGGAAGAGGCAGGAGGUAUUUCCGGGGUAGCGGUGAAAUGCUAUGAUCCCGGAAGGACCACCAGUAGCGAAGGCGUCCUGCCAGUACUGCUCUGACGGUGAGGAACGAAAGCCGAGGGAGCGACCCGGAUUAGAUACCCGGUUAGUCUCGGCCG
Molecule: ribosomal RNA, 624 nt
Filed under: uncultured archaeon
Lineage: Archaea
Description: bacterial SSU rRNA
Rfam family: Archaeal small subunit ribosomal RNA
Source: RNAcentral